RNAcentral lists this long non-coding RNA (5191 nucleotides) under Sus scrofa (pig). RNAcentral's name for it is "lncRNA (ENSSSCG00035044735.1)". Lineage: Eukaryota; Metazoa; Chordata; Mammalia; Artiodactyla; Suidae. The record is from RNAcentral.
AAUGAACUGUGUUAAACUGGGCGUUUUGGGGGGACAUGAUAAGCUCAUAACUGUGCUCUCUCUCUCCAUGGGUUUCUUCAAGCUUUUUCUUCCCUCCCACCUGAGCCUCUUUCUGUGCUGCCAGAACCUGUUGCAAGGAAGAUACUUCAAACAGAGGUCUCCGCAGCCUCUGUCUUCCCUCUGUAGCUGAGCUGCUUCUGCCUCUGCAGGACUCCACUUGAAGGAAGCUGUCUAAAUCCAUGUAAGAGAUCUCCUCGUAUUUUUUUCCCUCCCCCCUGAGGCUCUUCCUCCUCACCAGACACCUGUUCCAAGGAAGCUCCUGCAACAAGGGUGUGGGCUUGUGUCGUGAAGGUUGAGUAUCCAGAGUGACAGUGAAGAAUCCAUACUCCCACCCAAGAGUGGAUUUCAGUGUGCCUGAGAGGAAGAAGAGGAAGACAUCCUGCUGGCAUGUGCCCCAGGUCAGUGCAGCCCCCCUGGGGCUGCCCUGGCCUUGGACACCCCCCAGCUGGAUUUGGUUCCAGAUCUGCUUCUCAACCCAAGGAAAUGCCCUACAGACGGAGUCAUGACUUUCUCCAAGUCUCCCAGUGCACACCCCACCCUAGACCACCCACUACCUGAAAUCUGUCAGAGGCCCCACAUUUUCAAUCUUGUGAGGAGGAUUUACAACAAUCAGCAUCGGAGCAGUCAGAAUUCUUUUUUUUUUUUAGGGCUGCACCCAUGGCAUAUGGAGGUUCCCAGGCUAGGGAUCAAAUCAGAGCUGUAGCCGCCGGCCUACACCACAGCCACAGCAAUGCCAGAUCCAAGCCUCAUCUGCAGCCUACACCAUAGCUCAUGGCAAUGCUGGAUCCUUAACCCACUAAGCAAGGCCAGGGAUUGAACCCAAAACCUCAUGGUUCCUAGUUCUCCAUGACGGGAACUCCCAGUCAGAGUUCUUGACAGCAUGUCCAGUCAUGUGGACUUCAGGCUCCCUGAGCUGUCUGAAAGUGACCCAGAGAUGACAAGGUCCUUCCUAUCAGGUGAGUUAAUUUAGACCUGAGAGUGAGAGGUGACCUAUAACCUAGCCCCCCUCACAAGGCAGACCCCAGAGGGACCCAAACCACCGGCUUGAACCGCACCUCUGCGCUGGGACGCGCCCAUGCCAAGCCACUGGGUGUGUCAAGCUCCUCGUCCUGUAGUGGCCAUCACGACUCCCGGCCAGUCUCGUCCCACACCUCUGUCUCCUGACACCACCUGGUUCCGCGGGCACUGCCCUUAAGCACCUGGGAGCCUGGUGGGGUCCUCCCGUCUCUCUCUCAGACUCUGAGGCCUGCGGAGGACAGUGUUUCCCCAAGUCCUCCACAUGCCUCCCUGCUCCCUGUGUGUCAGCCCUCCUUUGAGUCCAUCAGGGGGACACACUUCGAGUCAGGCAUCCUGAUUCACCCACCCUGCCCCGCCUCACCAGCCUUUACUCUGCGUCACCUGGAUUCAGGUAAGAUGUGCCCUCAGGGGUGCUCGAAAGGCAGGAGAGGCACAGACGGAGGAAGAUCUAAGGAACAAUGCAGCGCACCCCCAAGAGAGAGGGCUCCUGCAUAAGGACAGCCCGCCCACCACAAGACGUCAGCUUUUACACACACUCUUCAUUGACGACCAGCAGCCCAGCUCUCCAGAGGCCAAGCCCUGGACCCUGGAAAACUGCAGGCCCCAAACCCCAGCCAGCCACCUGCGUGCUAACACUCCUACUUCUGGAGAACCCCAAGGCCCUGUGGACCCCAGUGGCACAUACAACGAUGUGGGCUUUGGGUUGGCUGAGUCGACUGAACCUGACCAUGACAUUUGGAGGGCAGAACAUGUUCCCUUUUACCGGGUGUGCCAGUUCAGACGGGAGUCACCUGAGGCCUGUACGCAACCUCUUUUCGAAGGACAUCUCCUGGGGGAUCCUCCCAUCCCCGUCUUGAAACCUUUUUCUUUUUUUUGUCUUUUUACCUUUUCUAGGGCCACUUCCCAUGGCAUAUGGAGGUUCCCAGGCUAGGGAUCUAAUUGGAGUUGUAGCCACCAGCCUACACCAGAGCCACAGCCACAGCAACGCUGGAUCGGAGCUGCAUCUGUGACCUACACCACAGCCAGAUCCUUAACCCACUGAGCAAGGCCAGGGAUCGAACCCGCAACCUCAUGGUUCCUAGUCGGAUUCAAUAACCACUGCGCCACAACAGGAACCCUGAAACCCAUCUUUUAACCUGGAGGUGAUACUACCAAGCCUCGGCUGGGCUUGAAACGUGUUUUGGCGCCCUCUGGUGGCCAUUCUCUCUAAUGACAACUCACAGCCCUGCCUCCAGCUUCCUGAACAGGAAAGAAUGCCCUUGGCUUGUGCUCCAAAUAGUUGAUUUACUCCCUCCUCUCACUCUAAGAACAAUCCUGCUCUUUCUAGGGACAUUAUCAUUCUCUCAAAGUCAGCUAUGGCACUCACUCCUCCCAAUCCUUCCCCACUCUCUAAAUCCUUGAGUCGAACCCAUCCAAAUCUGGUGACAGGAUUUCAAUGAAUCCUGUUCCCCAUUCUUCAUUUCUGGGUUUUGGCCAGAGGUUUGUUUUUCCUCUCCGGGGGGGGGGGGAAAUUAGAGGAGGGGAGAGGCUCUGAACAAAGGAAAAGAAACUUUUCAGAGAAUCCUCAAGAGACCCAUCUCUGGGAUGAAUGCAGCCAGUGGGCUGAUCAAGGAAGCACGGGUUUAGUGCAUUCAAUUCACAAGCACCCACCCACCUGUCCUGAGGGCAAACCCUGCAGAAGCCUGAUUGGGAGCACUGAAAGCAUAGUCCUCAGUCUCAUGCUUUUUGGCUGAGAUGUCAGCCUCUGCGGAAGCCGAAGGCCAUCAGAACUCUAGACGGCCUGUCCAAUCAUCUGGAAUUUAGGCUUCACUAGCUAUCUGAAAGUGACCCACAGAUGAUAAGAGCAGGACAAGUCCUUCCUAUCAGGUGAGUUAAUUUAGACCUGUAACCUAGCCCUCCUGCCAAGGCAUGUCCCGUGGGGAUCCACUUCACCCAAUUCCAGCCUCACCUCUGGGCUGGGAUUUGCCAAUGCCAAGCAGCUGCUGGGCCCUGUCAGUGCUCUGUCGCCCUCUGGUGGCCAACCCCUCAAAUAACAACUCAGAGCCCUUCCUCCUGCCUCCUGACCAAAGCCGUGGAUGCACUGCACUCUCCUCCUUCAGCUGAAGGCCGAACUCCCUCCUACUCUCAUCCUAAGUUCCACCUUGUGCCUUACAGAGGCCAGAAGUCUCUCUCAAAGUCUCCUGGGACUCUCCAUCAUCCGGCCUAUCCAACCCACUACCCUACAUUAUUGGCCGAUCCCACUUCAAGUCAGCUCAACAGCUGGAAAUCCAUAAGCCUGCAUUAAUACAUGUGACCUAGUACACACUCUGGUUAGUUCCUCAGGAAUAAGUUGCAGGAAGCAGUGGGGCAGGUAGACAAAGAAAAAAAAGAAACUCUAGGGAAUAAUUUGAGACUUAAAUCCCAGGAAGGAGCACAUCCCGGCCAGCCCAAGAUGCCACUUCUACACACUCCAUUCAGGUCCUCAAGCGCUGCUUUCCAGAUGCCACCUCUGACCAAGCCCCAUUUUGGUAAAGGGACAUAUGCGAGGCUCAAACCAAGUACCUGUGAAUUCUGGGUUUUCAUGCUGCAGAACCCAGAGGCUGUAAGACGCCCCCCCCCCAUAGCCUGUCAAAUCAUCAGUACUUAGGGCUCCGUGAUCCCUAUGGAAAUGAUCCCUAGUCGUGAAGCAGGAACUACGCACCCACUCCCAGGACAUGUGUUUGGGACUCGAGAGUCAGAAACAACAUGUAACUCAACUGACCUCACUGGGCACGUCCUCUGGGUGCCACCAGCACCCACUCCAACCACAUUUCCUAUGCUCGAGAUGCCAACACGUAACAGCAUCUCAGUAUGUUUGGGCUCCUCUUCCUCUAGUGGCCAUUACUACUCUUGUCCCACACUCUGCCUCCUGACCACACCUGGUUCUGUUGGCACAGUUUUUGUGUACCUAUAAGCCAGCGUUGGUCCUCCUGUCUGGUUCACUCUCUCAGAAUCAUCUAAGGCCUUAUGGAGGUGGUAAUUCUGAGUCCUCCAUAUGCCUCCCGGCUCCCUGUGUGUCAUCACACCUAUGAGUCCAUCAAGGAAACACACUUGGAGUCAGGUAACUGCCUUUACAUUAUUCCCCACAACACCUCACAUCUCCAGCCUUUGUUUUGUGUCACCUGGCUUUGGGUAAGAUGGAGAAAAAGUAAGGCGCAUUGCAGAACACCCUUGGGAGAGGGCUCCUGCAUAAAGACAGCCUGCCCGCCACAAGACAUCGGCUGUACACUCGCUCUUCAGUGAUGACCAGCAGCCCAGCUCUCCAGACCCCUGGACUCUGGGAAUCUGCAUGUCCAGUAAUCCAGCCACAUGCCUGCCUGCUCAGAGUUCUACUUCUGAGGAACCCCAAGGCCAUAGGAGCCCUGAUGGCCUGUCCUCCAACGUGGGCUUUGGGCUGGCUGGGUCGACUGAAGGUGACCCUGAUAUUUGGAAGGCAGAACACUUUCCCUUUUACGGGAUAUUCUAAUUCAGACUCGAGGGUCAGCUGUGGCCUGUAUGUGACCACCUUUUAAUGGACACUUCCUGGGGGAUCAUCUGGCUACAGAGCUGUCUGAAAGGUGGAAAGGGCAGCACAAGUCCUUCCUAUCAGGUGAAUCAAUUGAGACUUGAGAGUCAGCAGCAAACUGUAACCUAGCCCUCCUUGCAAUACAUGCCUCAGGGGGAUCCACCUCUGCCAACUCAAACCCCACCUCUGGGCUGGGAUUCGCCAAUGCCAAGCAGCUGCUGGGCUCUGCCAGUGCUCCUUUGCCCUGUGGUGAUGAAUCAUCAAAUAAGAAUUCAGAGCCCUUCAUCCUGUAUCCUGACCAAAGCCACACUAGCACCACGCUCGCCUUAUUCACCUGAAGGCGCAUCUCCCUCCUACCCUCCUUCUAAGUACAACUGUGUGCUUUACAGGGGCCAGAGGUCUCUCUCAAAGUCUCCUGCGACUCUCCCUCCUCCUCCCUGCCCAUCACCACUACCCCAUGUCAUCCAGCUGAUCCCACUUCAGUUCAGCUCACCACCUGUAAAUACAUCUGGCUGCCUGAAUACAUGCAACCUAUUCCUUGCCAUUGUUCAUUUUCAUGCGUUACUUUUAGCAAGCCAUGGCUCAGUUAGG